UAAACGGUCCUUUUCAGGACCACACAUACCUUUCAUCAAAGAGAAU
This 46-nucleotide non-coding RNA is filed under the name Mytilus galloprovincialis (Mediterranean mussel). It matches the Rfam family "Histone 3' UTR stem-loop". From Rfam's summary of the family: The mRNAs of metazoan histone genes lack a poly-A tail. The record is from RNAcentral. Lineage: Eukaryota; Metazoa; Mollusca; Bivalvia; Mytilida; Mytilidae.